RNAcentral lists this ribosomal RNA (111 nucleotides) under bacterium. The record is from RNAcentral.
GGUGGCGAUUAUACUGGAGUUGUUCCACCUCUUCCCAUCUCGAACAGAGACGUGAAAUACUCCGAGGCCGAUGAUAGUACAAUUUUGUGCGAAAGUAGGUAAUCGCCACCC